This 573-nucleotide unclassified non-coding RNA is filed under the name Hevea brasiliensis (rubber tree). The record is from RNAcentral. Lineage: Eukaryota; Viridiplantae; Streptophyta; Magnoliopsida; Malpighiales; Euphorbiaceae.
GGUGGCUUUUCAGUUUCAUAUGGCAGGCCUGAUCAGUCAAUUCAGGAAAGGAAUUCAUAUUUCAUUACAGGACAAGAACGUUAAAACAUCACAAAGAAAAUAAAGAAUGUUAUUGCAAAAUUGCAAUCCCAUUCAGCGUCACUAAACAAGGAGAUCGAACAGUCUACAAGGAGAGAUUAAGAUUUAAACCAUCGUCUUCCUCUUGCUGUUUCUUGUCUUCUUUCUGGUUACGAGGACAAGGAAAGAUUAGAGGAAGCUUUCGAAACUGAAUUUCCUCGUUGAAAUCUUCCCAUUCGAAAGAAGGUACCCAACUAGGCUGCCCUUCAUUUAACCUUCUAACCUUCUUCUUUCUCUCCUUGUCUACCAAUUCUUGAUCUUUUCUUCGGUUACGGGCCUCCUGAAACCUUCUAAUCAAAGCGAAAAACUCCUCCACCUUCUGGUCUUCAUGCUCAGCAUCUUCACCAUUGGAAACACAUCCAACUUUCUCAUUUUCCAUGCCUGGUUUGACCACCGGGAGUAGAAAAGGGUGGCAGAGUGACGCGACGCGUUCAACUUUGUUGGUGGUGUAUAGGC